Molecule: ribosomal RNA, 3261 nt
Filed under: Triticum aestivum (bread wheat)
Lineage: Eukaryota; Viridiplantae; Streptophyta; Magnoliopsida; Poales; Poaceae
Description: partial small subunit ribosomal RNA
Source: RNAcentral
AUGGAGCCCGUGUCGGAGCAUCGGCAGCUAAAGCUCUCCGACGCCGCCGGCGUCGCCGCUGGAGGCGGCGAGGACGAUCUUCAGAACGCAACCGAGAUGAUACUCGACCUAGGUCUUACUGGCCUCACCCUGCCGCCUUCCGGCGUAUUUACCCGGCUCACCGAUCUUUGGCUGCGUGACAUCCACCUGCACCGCUCGUGUAGCCUCAGUGAUCUCGUCUCUUCACCACGGUGUCCAUCUUUGCUGCGCCUUUCCCUUUGCUCUGUGAGUGGUCUGGAUAAUUUCACAAUCCACUCGGAGUCACUCGUAAAAUUGGAGCUGAGGGAUCUGAGCUUGCAGCAGCUCAAUGUUGUCGCGCUCCUUCUGCAAACGCUACUAGUAUGCAACUGCUUCGCCGAUAUUCAGAGUCAGCCCGUUGCCAACAUCUCAGCCCCUCACCUGGUGACACUUGAUUGGAGGAGCUUUUAUGAUCCUAGCUCCCUCCUGCUUGAUGAGAUGCCACAUCUCCAACAGCUGACCGCCAAUCCCUUUUUUGCAUAUGGACCAGAUGUGUUUUCUAAAGAGUUGCUCAACGCUUCUGCAGCAUUUCGACCACAUCAGCAAACGUUAUCUGAGCCUUAUCUAUCCACGGGUGUCAGUGAGUUCAUUCUUAUCUUGGCAUUGCUUGUAUUGGCAUGUGGACAUUCCUUUGGAGCCAGCUUAUUCCACGUUCUCAGGAUGUCUAGUGGUAUAAGCCGGUUCGAGCUUAGACUUCUCGACAGGCGAAGCGAAUUGGAGACGCACUCUCCGUUGCAAUCAGAUUGCAUUUGUGCUGAGCCAUCAAACUGGGAAACCGACGAACUCAAACUCAAUUGCCUUAAGGAAGUAGAAAUCCAUGGCCUGAAAGGAACAGAACAUGAAGUCGCCCUCAUGAAAAGGCGCACCGCAUCGCUCUUCCCUCCUGCUUCCAUGGAGCGCAUGCCGGACAAUCGGCGGCCAAAGCUCUCCGACACCGCCGGCGUCCCCGCUGGAGGCGGCGAGGACCGGCUCAGCGCGCUGCCGGACGACCUCCUCAUCCACAUCCUCCUCAAGCUCUGCGACGCCCCCGUCGCCGCUCGGACCAGCAUCCUCGCCCGCCGCUGGCGCCGCGUCUGGGCUCUCCUCCCGGAGCUCGACUUCCCCGCCGCCACUAACCCCGACGGUAUUCGCGCCGCCCUCGCCGCCCAUGAUGCGCCGGCCCUCGGCCGCCUCUUCGUUGACGCCAUCGAGGGUGAGGCCGCCCCCGAAUCCGUCGCGGCAUGGCUCACCAUCGCCGCGCGCCGCCUCUCCGGUGUCCUAGAUUUUAAUAACAGGCAGAAAAUGGACGGCUCCUCCGCCGCAUCUCCCUUGAAGCUGCCUUGCUUUCAGAACGCAACCGAGGUCAUGCUCGAUCUAGAUUCCAUUGGCCUCACCCUGCCGCCUUCUGGCAUAUUUACCCGGCUCACCGAUCUGGAGUUGUUUGACAUGCAGCUACACGGUCCGUGUAGCCUCAGUGAUGUCGUCUCCUCACCACGCUGCCCAUCUUUGCGGCGCCUUUGCGUGUACGAUGUCAAGGGUCUGGACAAGUUCACAAUCCACUCGGAGUCUCUCCUAGAAUUAGAUCUGCGCCAUCUGCCUAGCCUGCAGCAGCUCAAUGUCGUUGCGCCAGCUCUGCAAGAGUUAGCCGUACCGUACGGCAAUGCUUCACUAGUGAACAAACAUUUUGACCGCAUCAGCAGACUUAUUCUCAACCUUGACUAUCCACUGGUCAAAUGUAGCAACCGAUUCUUGAUGGAAGAGAUGACAAAGUUUCCUAAAGUUACAAGCUUGACAUUGGCUGUAAUGGCAUUUGAACAUUCCUUUGGAGCCAGCUUGUUUCAUGUUCUCAGGAUAUCUAGUGGUAUAAGAGAGCUGGAGGUUAAACUUGCCUUGCCGAGCAAACCGAAGGCAUACCCUCCGUGCCAAUCAGGUUGCAUUUGUGCUGAGCCAUCAAACUGGGAAACCGAGGAACUCGUGCUACCUUGCCUCAAAGAAGUUGCAAUCAUUGGCCUGAGAGGAACUGAACAUGAACUCGCUCUUGUGAAAAGCGAGCUGAGCGAGAGAGCGGCCUCGCAGUGGAAGGGAAAGAAAAAGGGGCAACCAGCACGAGCAGCGGCAGGGAAAGAAAAAGGGCGUCUUCCCCACGAACCCUACCCGCCUCCUCGCCUCCUCCUCCAUUCACGCCCGCCCCUCGCCCCCCGCCCUCCCUAUCUCCCCUUUCCCCGAUCCCCAUGGUCGCUGCACUACUCCCGCAUCCGUCCUCCUCCUUCCUCCCUCGUCGCGCGCCCCGCCGUCGUCCUCAACGUCUCCGCCACGCUCAAGGCCCGCGUCCGCAAUCCCACCCUCUUCGCGCUGGACUACGCCCACCUCGACGUGGCCAUCGGCUACCGCCGCGAGCUGCUCGGCACCGUCAGUGUGGCCUGUGUGUGUGCUGGGUUUCUAGAGCGCACCGUGGAUCCUUUUUUGGCUGCUGAUGUGAGCUUCUUCGGCUUCUUCCAGCGGCCCAGCCAUGACGUCCUCAAGCCGCCGACGCUCAGAGCGACAUCAACGGCCCUCUCCCAAGCUGCACUGCUCCUGAUCUUCGUCUCCGAGUCGUUUAAAUCUGAACGCAAGACCAAGGUAUCACAUAUUUCUUGUAAAAUGUCGAUGGAAGAGUUCUUCCUUCAACUUAUGGUGGAGACCAAGAACAAACAAUUGUUUAUGAAAGGUUUGAUUGCAGGAUUCUUGCCGGAGGAGACGAACUUUUAUGGAUUCUUGCUGGAGGAGAUGAACUUUUAUGCUGUGUUUUUGCCCCUGUAUGUGUCGCUUCAGAUCAGAGGAGCUGUUGAAGGCCAAGGUUUUCUUUGUGAGAAUGCCAUAGUUACAAGAAAAGAUUGCCUGAAAGAUAAAUACAUUGAGAAGAUGGAACUAGAAUUAAACUUCCGUCCAACUGCAGCCACCACCAACAGCAAUGUAGGGAUCUAUGGCGGGCAAGACCAAAGUGCUGCAGCCGCACGAGGGGGGCCCAAGGCCAAGCCUACACUAGCAGCGGCGAUGACGGAGGCGGAGGCGAAGGAGCUCCCCAAGGCCAUCACGUGGCAGCUGGUCCAGGACAAGCUCGCCUGGGUUGCCGUGGCCGGCUCCGGCGAAGGAGGAGGGUGGAGGUGUGGUGGACAAGGACGCCAUGGCCGCCUUCGGCACAGUGCCAACAUCUUCAUCCACUGCCUCUCUGCCACUUCAGAAUAA